UGGGGAAUAUUCCGCAAUGGACGAAAGUCUGACGGAGCAACGCCGCGUGAGUGAUGAAGGUUUUCGGACUGUAAAGCUCUGUUGUUUAGGACGAAAGUGCCUGUUGCGAACAGUUACAGGUAUUGACGGUACUGAACGAGGAAGCCACGGCUAACUACGUGCCAGCAGCCGCGGUAAUACGUAGGUGGCAAGCGUUGUCCGGAAUUAUUGGGCGUAAAGAGCAUGUAGGCGGGAAUCUAAGUCUGUUGUGAAAAUGCGGGGCUCAACCCCGUAUGGCGAUGGAAACUGGAUUUCUUGAGUGCAGGAGAGGAAAGGGGAAUUCCCAGUGUAGCGGUGAAAUGCGUAGAUAUUGGGAGGAACACCAGUGGCGAAGGCGCCUUUCUGGACUGUGUCUGACGCUGAGAUGCGAAAGCCAGGGUAGCGAACAG
Molecule: ribosomal RNA, 428 nt
Filed under: uncultured bacterium
Lineage: Bacteria
Description: bacterial SSU rRNA
Rfam family: Bacterial small subunit ribosomal RNA
Source: RNAcentral